RNAcentral lists this unclassified non-coding RNA (255 nucleotides) under fungal sp. RNAcentral's name for it is "partial internal transcribed spacer region". The record is from RNAcentral. Lineage: Eukaryota; Fungi.
CGGUCGUGUGUUACGGCGAUCACGGUUCCGGCAUAUUUCUGCAGGUGCUGUUCAAGCCACAAUACCGAUUCGGCAUCCAGGUGGUUCGUAGGCUCAUCGAGCAGCAACACAUCCGGUGCCUGCAAAAGAAGACGGCACAAUGCAAGCCUUCUGCGUUCGCCGCCUGAAAGUUUUGCCACCGGCGUAUCUCCUUCCGGACAACGAAGUGCGUCCAUGGCUACUUCAAUUUUAUUAUCAAGCUCCCAUCCGCCUGCA